AGGAGCAUGUGGUUUAAUUCGAUGAUACGCGAGGAACCUUACCUGGGCUCGAACGUAAGAUGACUGUAGGUGAAAGCUUACAUCUCUUCGGAGCAUUUUACGAGGUGCUGCAUGGUUGUCGUCAGCUCGUGCCGUGAGGUGUCGGGUUAAGUCCCAUAACGAGCGCAACCCUACCUUUAGUUGCCAUCAGGUAAUGCUGGGGACUCUAAAGGAACUGCCUACGCAAGUAGUGAGGAAGCGGGGAUGACGUCAAAUCAGCACGGCCCUUACGUCCAGGGCUACACACGUGCUACAAUGGCCGAUACAGAGGGCAGCUACCUGGUGACAGGAUGCAAAUCUCCAAAGUCGGUCUCAGUUCGGAUCGGAGUCUGCAACCCGACUCCGUGAAGUUGGAUUCGCUAGUAAUCGCGCAUCAGCCAUGGCGCGGUGAAUACGUUCCCGGGCCUU
RNAcentral lists this ribosomal RNA (447 nucleotides) under uncultured Sphingobacteriales bacterium. Its description in RNAcentral is "bacterial SSU rRNA". It matches the Rfam family "Bacterial small subunit ribosomal RNA", at positions 933 to 1382 of the family's 1533-position model. The record is from RNAcentral. Lineage: Bacteria; Pseudomonadati; Bacteroidota; Sphingobacteriia; Sphingobacteriales.